Molecule: small nuclear RNA, 159 nt
Organism: Penaeus chinensis
Lineage: Eukaryota; Metazoa; Arthropoda; Malacostraca; Decapoda; Penaeidae
Product: U1 spliceosomal RNA
Exons: 1
Source: RefSeq, a predicted model, not a curated record
GCAAUUACCCGUGGUUAGUGAUACCGUGAUCACGAAGGCGGUUAUCCAGGGCGAGGCUAACCAUUGCACUCAGGUGGCGCCGACCCCUGCGAUUAACCCAAAUGUAGUCAACUCGGAUGCCCAAUUUUUGGUAGGGGACUGCGUUCUCGCUAUCCCCUU